CAUUAUUACAAGAAUAUUCCAAAGAAUUUAUGUAAGAAACUUCAAGAAAAAUAGGACUGAUAAGAGUACUAUCUGGAGUAACUGCUCCACUUGAUACUUGUACAAGCUGAAGCGAAAUCCAGUUGCUCAUCAGCCACACGCACGCAUCCAGCACGUACAGUUAUGGUGACCGCGGCUGUUACGAACGUUUCUUCUAAACCUCUAUGGUGCUUUAAUUUGAGCAGUGGAGUGGAUUGGAUGCCUUCGGAACACUGCUUUUAUAGUGGAGUGGAGUGGAUGCCUUCAAUUCUGACAAAACGUAUAGUGGACUAGUCUACUACUCUACUCCUUUAUUCAAUUCCUUAAUAUGUAAUUAUUUAUUUAAGGAAACAAUCUUACAAUAAUUAAUAUGCUAUACAAAUUUAAAGCAA
Molecule: long non-coding RNA, 410 nt
Organism: Ipomoea triloba (trilobed morning glory)
Lineage: Eukaryota; Viridiplantae; Streptophyta; Magnoliopsida; Solanales; Convolvulaceae
Exons: 2
Source: RefSeq, a predicted model, not a curated record